ACCUAAUAGAUACCCUGGUAGUCCACGCCGUAAACGAUGGGUACUAGGUGUAGGGGGUGUCGACUCCCCCUGUGCCGACGCUAAACGCAUUAAAGUACCCCGCCUGGGGAGUACGGCCGCAAGGCUAAAACUCAAAGGAAUUGACGGGGCCCGCACAAGCAGCGGAGCAUGUGGUUUAAUUCGACGCGACGCGAAGAACCUUACCUGGGCUUGACAUGUUUCUGACAGCCGUGGAAACACGGUCUCCCUUCGGGGCAGAAUCACAGGUGGUGCAUGGCUGUCGUCAGCUCGUGUCGUGAGAUGUUGGGUUAAGUCCCGCAACGAGCGCAACCCCCGUCGCAUGUUGCCAGCAUUUAGUUGGGGACUCAUGCGAGACUGCCGGUGACAAACCGGAGGAAGGUGGGGAUGACGUCAAGUCAUCAUGCCCCUUAUGUCCAGGGCUACACACGUGCUACAUUGGCGCAUACAGAGGGCUGCAAGACCGCGAGGUGGAGCGAAUCCCUUAAAGUGCGUCUCGGUUCGGAUUGCAGGCUGAAAC
RNAcentral lists this ribosomal RNA (538 nucleotides) under uncultured bacterium. RNAcentral's name for it is "bacterial SSU rRNA". It matches the Rfam family "Bacterial small subunit ribosomal RNA", at positions 771 to 1311 of the family's 1533-position model. The record is from RNAcentral.